UACGUAGGGCGCAAGCGUUGUCCGGAAUUAUUGGGCGUAAAGAGCUCGUAGGCGGUUUGUCGCGUCUGCUGUGAAAACUCGAGGCUCAACCUCGGGCUUGCAGUGGGUACGGGCAGACUAGAGUGCGGUAGGGGUGACUGGAAUUCCUGGUGUAGCGGUGGAAUGCGCAGAUAUCAGGAGGAACACCGAGUGGCGAAGGCAGGUCUCUGGGCAUUAACUGACGCUGGAGGAGCGGAAAAGCAUGGGGAGCGAACAGG
RNAcentral lists this ribosomal RNA (257 nucleotides) under uncultured bacterium. RNAcentral describes it as "partial 16S ribosomal RNA". It matches the Rfam family "Bacterial small subunit ribosomal RNA", at positions 524 to 776 of the family's 1533-position model. The record is from RNAcentral.